GACGAACGCUGGGGGCGUGCUUAACACAUGCAAGUCGAACGGAAAGGCCCUGCUUUUGUGGGGUGCUCGAGUGGCGAACGGGGGAGAAACAGGUGAGUAACCUGCCCUUGACUUUGGGAUAACUUCAGGAAACUGGGGCUAAUACCGGAUAGGAGCUCCUGCGGCAUGGUGGGGGUGGGAAAGUUUCGGCGGUUGGGGAUGGACUCGCGGCUUAUCGGCUUGUUGGUGGGGUAGUGGCUUACCAAGGCUUUGACGGGUAGCCGGCCUGAGAGGGUGACCGGCCACAUUGGGACUGAGAUACGGCCCAGACUCCUACGGGAGGCAGCAGUGGGGAAUAUUGCACAAUGGGCGGAAGCCUGAUGCAGCAACGCCGCGUGCGGGAUGACGGCCUUCGGGUUGUAAACCGCUUUCGCCUGUGACGAAGCGUGAGUGACGGUAAUGGGUAAAGAAGCACCGGCUAACUACGUG
RNAcentral lists this ribosomal RNA (468 nucleotides) under uncultured bacterium. RNAcentral's name for it is "partial 16S ribosomal RNA". It matches the Rfam family "Bacterial small subunit ribosomal RNA", at positions 28 to 507 of the family's 1533-position model. The record is from RNAcentral.